This 496-nucleotide ribosomal RNA is filed under the name uncultured bacterium. RNAcentral describes it as "partial 16S ribosomal RNA". It matches the Rfam family "Bacterial small subunit ribosomal RNA", at positions 28 to 506 of the family's 1533-position model. The record is from RNAcentral.
GAUGAACGCUGGCGGCGUACCUAAUACAUGCAAGUCGAGCGAACAGACGAGGAGCUUGCUCCUCUGACGUUAGCGGCGGACGGGUGAGUAACACGUGGAUAACCUACCUAUAAGACUGGGAUAACUUCGGGAAACCGGAGCUAAUACCGGAUAAUAUAUUGAACCGCAUGGUUCAAUAGUGAAAGACGGUUUUGCUGUCACUUAUAGAUGGAUCCGCGCCGCAUUAGCUAGUUGGUAAGGUAACGGCUUACCAAGGCAACGAUGCGUAGCCGACCUGAGAGGGUGAUCGGCCACACUGGAACUGAGACACGGUCCAGACUCCUACGGGAGGCAGCAGUAGGGAAUCUUCCGCAAUGGGCGAAAGCUUGACGGAGCAACGCCGCGUGAGUGAUGAAGGUCUUCGGAUCGUAAAACUCUGUUAUUAGGGAAGAACAAAUGUGUAAGUAACUAUGCACGUCUUGACGGUACCUAAUCAGAAAGCCACGGCUAACUACGU